UACGGGGGGGGCAAGCGUUGUUCGGAAUUACUGGGCGUAAAGGGCUCGUAGGUGGCCAACUGAGUCAGACGUGAAAUCCCUCGGCUUAACCGGGGAACUGCGUCUGAUACUGGAUGGCUUGAGAUUGGGAGAGGGAUGCGGAAUUCCAGGUGUAGCGGUGAAAUGCGUAGAUAUCUGGAGGAACACCGGUGGCGAAGGCGGCAUCCUGGACCAACACUGACACUGAGGAGCGAAAGCCAGGGGAGCAAACGGG
RNAcentral lists this ribosomal RNA (253 nucleotides) under uncultured bacterium. RNAcentral's name for it is "partial 16S ribosomal RNA". It matches the Rfam family "Bacterial small subunit ribosomal RNA", at positions 524 to 776 of the family's 1533-position model. The record is from RNAcentral.